Telopea speciosissima is the source of this 148-nucleotide long non-coding RNA. RefSeq lists it as uncharacterized. NCBI's taxonomy places the organism in Eukaryota, Viridiplantae, Streptophyta, Magnoliopsida, Proteales, Proteaceae. The transcript is spliced from 3 exons. The record is from RefSeq and is a predicted model, not a curated record.
ACAGGGAUUUCAACACUCAUGCGCCCCGUUGGCAAAUAUAGAUAGUAAUGUAGCAUCCAUCCAGGAAAGCAAACAGAUAAUAUGAUUAGUUUAAAGUAGUAUAUGAUGCAAUAGUUUAUAAGUGGCAACGUUACUCCAACAUGCCCUC